AGGGAAUCUUCCACAAUGGACGCAAGUCUGAUGGAGCAACGCCGCGUGAGUGAGGAAGGUUUUCGGACCGUAAAGCUCUGUUGUUGGUGAAGAAGGAUAGAGGUAGUAACUGGCCUUUAUUUGACGGUAACCAACCAGAAAGUCACGGCUAACUACGUGCCAGCAGCCGCGGUAAUACGUAGGUGGCAAGCGUUGUCCGGAUUUAUUGGGCGUAAAGCGAGCGCAGGCGGAAGAAUAAGUCUGAUGUGAAAGCCCUCGGCUUAACCGAGGGAUUGCAUCGGAAACUGUUUUCUUGAGUGCAGAAGAGGAGAGUAGAACUCCAUGUGUAGCGGUGGAAUGCGUAGAUAUAUGGAAGAAUACCAGUGGCGAAGGCGGCUCUCUGGUCUGCAACUGACGCUGAGGCUCGAAAGCAUGGGUAGCGAACAGGAUUAGAUACCCUGGUAGUCCAUGCCGUAAACGAUGAGUGCUAAGUGUUGGGAGGCUUCCGCCUCUCAGUGCUGCAGCUAACGCAUUAAGCACUCCGCCUGGGGGAGUACGAC
RNAcentral lists this ribosomal RNA (539 nucleotides) under uncultured bacterium. RNAcentral describes it as "partial 16S ribosomal RNA". It matches the Rfam family "Bacterial small subunit ribosomal RNA", at positions 356 to 886 of the family's 1533-position model. The record is from RNAcentral.